RNAcentral lists this transfer RNA (73 nucleotides) under Candidatus Arcanibacter lacustris. RNAcentral describes it as "Candidatus Arcanobacter lacustris tRNA". It matches the Rfam family "tRNA". From Rfam's summary of the family: Transfer RNA (tRNA) molecules are approximately 80 nucleotides in length. Their secondary structure includes four short double-helical elements and three loops (D, anti-codon, and T loops). Further hydrogen bonds mediate the characteristic L-shaped molecular structure. tRNAs have two regions of fundamental functional importance: the anti-codon, which is responsible for specific mRNA codon recognition, and the 3' end, to which the tRNAs corresponding amino acid is attached (by aminoacyl-tRNA synthetases). tRNAs cope with the degeneracy of the genetic code in two manners: having more than one tRNA (with a specific anti-codon) for a particular amino acid; and 'wobble' base-pairing, i.e. permitting non-standard base-pairing at the 3rd anti-codon position. Lineage: Bacteria; Pseudomonadati; Pseudomonadota; Alphaproteobacteria; Rickettsiales; Candidatus Arcanibacteraceae. The record is from Rfam by way of RNAcentral.
GCGGGCGUAGCUCAGUUGGUAGAGCCCCAGUUUGUGGUAUUGGUUGUCGCGGGUUCGAGACCCGUCGCUCGCC